Molecule: ribosomal RNA, 465 nt
Filed under: uncultured bacterium
Lineage: Bacteria
Description: bacterial SSU rRNA
Rfam family: Bacterial small subunit ribosomal RNA
Source: RNAcentral
ACCAGACUCCUACGGGAGGCAGCAGUGAGGAAUAUUGGUCAAUGGGCGCGAGCCUGAACCAGCCAAGUCGCGUGAGGGAUGACGGCCCUACGGGUUGUAAACCUCUUUUGCCGGGGAGCAACGGGCGCCACGUGUGGCGCCACUGAGAGUACCCGGAGAAAAAGCAUCGGCUAACUCCGUGCCAGCAGCCGCGGUAAUACGGAGGAUGCGAGCGUUAUCCGGAUUUAUUGGGUUUAAAGGGUGCGUAGGCGGAUCGUUAGUUCAGGGUUAAAGUGGGGGGGCUCAACCCCUUCCCGCCAUUGAAACUGGCGCUCUUGAGUGGAAGAGAAGUAUGCGGAAUGCGUGGUGUAGCGGUGAAAUGCAUAGAUAUCACGCAGAACUCCGAUUGCGAAGGCAGCGCACCGGCGCCCUACUGACGCUCAGGCACGAAAGCGUGGGUAUCGAACAGGAUUAGAUACCCGAGUA